Molecule: long non-coding RNA, 6338 nt
Organism: Peromyscus californicus insignis
Lineage: Eukaryota; Metazoa; Chordata; Mammalia; Rodentia; Cricetidae
Exons: 3
Source: RefSeq, a predicted model, not a curated record
CAAAAAAAAAAAAAAAAAAAAAAAGGAUAGACAAAUGAUCCUUGUGGAGGAGGGGGCGGAAAGAUGGUGGGAACCAGAGGUAGGUGACAUCUGCGUCAGAACAGUACUUGCCAGGCACCGCAGGGCCGCAGCACACACGGACUGUGACUACAUGCUCCAGAUCUGUGCAGAAGCAAAUCAGUCAAUAUCCUAGCAUGAGGGGGAAGGGCUCCCAAAGUCCCGCCGCCUGCCCAGGAACUAUUGGCAACUGACAGCUGCUGGCGGAACAAGACUCAGUUUUCCUCCGGGAUGUGAUCCUGGAGAGGCUACCCAUGCUCCAGAAGACAGUCCCACACCUGUUCCUAUAGAAGCCUAUGAAGUGGGUUACUUUCCAAGAGCCAAAAGGAUUACUUGGGUCCUUUUUACCUUUGCCCAUUCUUCUUAAAUUCAGGGUGAGUGUGCAUCCACACAGAAAGCCUGGCUGAGGCUGGAACAGCCAGGUUGCUUCUGUAUACUGCCUGUUAAGAGGCUCAUGCAGAUGGGUGAACCAAUUCUGAGCCACGACAUCUGGAUUUUGAUGGGUCUUUAAAGAAAACGAACUGAGACCUGAGUGCCCAUUGCUUACAUCUCCAACUUUCAGAUCGUCUCUGUAUUUGUGCGUGGUCAUACCGCCCUGAAUGUGCUCCCUACCUCACCAAAUGAUUUAUGUGACGCUUCACCAAAGGCUGGAUUUCUGUAGUGGUUUCCUCUCCCCUCUGCCAAACCUGCUCCUCCUGCAGCCCCCCGACCCCAACACACAAUGACGUCAUGAGACCAAGUAGGAAAACCGUCCCACAAACUGGACAGAAUGCCGGGGCAGACGGGACGGUGUUCCACUUCAUGUUAGUGGCUUUCUCUUUAGUACUCCUAAUGGUGACAGGAUUGCCCUUUGCCUUUAGCCUGUUUGGGGUCUUGCAGCAAUGUUUCAAGGCAUGAAAUAUCUGACGAUGUUUUUAAGUGCUUUAGAAAGGCCAACCGUGAUAAAGAAUUACACAAUGACUGUACAUUAGUUACUAAGUCCUGGAGAAAACAUGGGAACGCGAUUUUUACCAGGAUAUUUUCGUUAGUCCUUUUCAGCCUAUCCUUCCUUACUGUACAGGCCACGAGAGCCAGCUCUGAAGUUGAGCGUGACCACUGAAGCCUCUCGGGAGCUGAACGCUGACGUGACUGUGCUAUUCCGACAUUACUGUUUCGGGAAGAGCUUUUGACUAAGUGGGAUACGGAAACAUCCAAAUGGAUGCCAACGUGGAGCUCUGGAUUCUCGUAACGAAGUGGAGAUUGAUCUGUUGUGAACCUGCACAACAGCACAGAGCAACAGCCGCAGCACUGCCAACCAGAAGCUCUGUGGGACGGCGCUAACACACAACCCUGGGAAUGAGGGCAUCAGUCCCAGCCUCCUCAGAGUUACCACAGAUUCAAAUUCAGUGAAUCCAGGCUGCCGAAAUGUAACCUGCACAGACACUUAAGCAUUUUGCUGGGAAUGACUGUGAGUGUCCUGAAGUGCCACUCACUUCUGCCGUGACCUCUGCAUCUGUGGCUCACCCUUUGACCCCAGUGACACAGUGCACCCUGACCAGCAAAGGUCUGCUGCCCUGAGACCUUUCUGAUUAGUCAGUCAGAAUGGAAGGCUGUGAUUGAGGGUUCAAGGACACUUAAACAGCAAUGACUCCAGACUGUAACAGCUCCUACAGCCAGGGACCAGGUGCCGGAGGAAGCUGCUUCAGUAGCAGUACCAAUAGGUUUUAGAAGUGUGUGUGUGUGUGUGUGUGUGUGUGUGCGUGUGUGUGUGUUUACACAUGCAUAAGUUCAAGUAUAUGUGGGUAUACAUGUGUCUAGGUAUGAAUGCACACAUGUGCACAUGUUGAUGAAGUCAGAUGAUGACAACCUCUGGUAUCAUUCCUUAGGAAUGCCAUCUGCCUUUUUUUAAAAUUUGUUUUUGUUUUUUGAGACAAGGUCUCUCACUGGCAUGGAACUUGCUGAGUAGGCUAGGCUGGGUGGCCAGUGAGCCCCAGGAAUUCACUGAUCUCCACGUUACAAGUGCACCCCACUCCGCCCAGCUUUUUUAUUUGGGUUCUGGAGAUUCAUCUUGUGUCCUCUUGAUGGCGAGGCCAGCACCUUACUGACUGAGCUAUCUCUCAGCCACGUAGAAGGGAUUCAAACAGUUACUGCUCAGAGCUCCCCAGCCCAGUGCCACAGACCACGGUGAAGCGUGUGAGGCUCCACUCACUGAAGUACAGGAAAUGACCCGAGGGUUCAAGCUGGCUACAAAUGUCCUCCCUUUCAUGUUUCCAAAGUCGGGCCAAGACAGGACUUCUCCAUUGCUUCUGGGUUCUGAAGAAGAGCUGAUGAAGAUAAUGCUGAUGCUUCCCAUUCAAGGACUGUUUCCUCUGUCUUCUAGAGAAUUCCACCAUCUUCAAAAGCCUAAGCCUUUCCAUGAUAUGGGUUCAAGGAUGCUAAGCAGCUCGGAUUUGCAGCUUGGGGCACAGAAACCUAAUAAGCUUUGUUGACUACGCAUACCUGCCAAAUGUUCCUCAGGGGAAAUGAGUUAGUCUGGAAAGUGGAAGCACUCCUACUUCAGAAAAUAUACAACUCCCAGCUAUUACUGUCUGCUUCCUAAUCCGGGAAACUCCAGGGGAAUUCUUGGGCCCAGCUGUUUGAAGGUGAAGGUGGCAGCCCUGGUUCCCUUCUUUCCUUGACCCGGAGCUUGGGGUUAGUGGCUUUACCAAGCAGAGCCUCAGUUUAGUGACACUUGCAGCUUCCACUACAGUCUCCACGGAGGAGGAAGCCUCAGUCUAGAAGGCCCUCGCCUCCCCUUUCCAGUAAAAUGGGCAUCUGGCAGGUCUGAAUGCAGAGCGUCUGGGACGAGACUAAGUGAAAAGCGAGAUUAUGCAAACGAGCACAUCUUCAUCGGAACACUGAUCAUGUGGGUAAACCGGCAUAUACAGCACACUGCGCUUGAAUUUUGGCCUCUGAUGCUGACAGGAGGGAGGCUCUGUCUGCCCUGUUCUAGAUGAGUUUCUCCCUGAUGUUUGAAUAGGCCGGUGAACCAGAGCACUGCUUGUGGGGUACCUCACCUGGAGAUGUGUGCCGGAAUUCACAGGAACUGUGGGAGCAGCUGGCAUCUCCCCACCACUUCAAGGAGUUAUAACACUCCCCCGCCACCCCCAGGAGACUGUCUUGCAGCUUCCACCUAAGAUGUCACCUACCUGGUCAGCCUCAUUCUGAAUCACUUGUUCCAACCCUUUUCUUUACAUGGCCUCUGUGCAUGUCUUCAAGGAGCAUUCUCUCUCAGGCCACAGGCAGGAAGAUGGAUGCCCACCAGCCAAGACCAAUUCCCUUCACUCUCAACACGGUGCUCCCCAUGAAGCCAAUAGCCAGAGGAUGAGUCCCAAGGAAUAAAACCGACAGGGAUUGGGCAGGUCCCUGAGGAGUAGCUCAUAGGGAGAAGAAGGCAGCACAAGAGAGAUGCUCUAUAGCUUUGAGAAAUGACGGCCAAUGUGCUGGAAACACGGCCGACCACAGCAAACUGGGCAGGCGAGUCUGGCUUAUGCACAAACAGCAGAGCAGGAGGGGCACACGGAGCUGCUUGGGACCCUCGAAUUCUCGGGUGCCCUUCUGUGCUGCUGCGCCAUGAUUUCCAAGGCCCUCUGCUUACAGGUGACAGUAGAAAGCCUGCCAUCCUGAGGCCUUCCCAGAAUGAGAGACACCCUUCUUUUUCAUAUUCUUCAGGAGGAUGAACUCAGGCAGUUAUGGCAGGUCACGGCCCUGGCAGCCCCUCCUAUGGGCCGACUGUAUGUAGAUGCCAUGACAGGGUGUCUUCCCUUGCUUGAUGUAAUUUAUAACUAUGUGCUGUAUUCUACAAUCGUACCACUGUCGCCUGCAGCUCACGUGACGUGGUUAGCUAUGCGGUGACAAGGCUCGUGUUUAGCUUUGAAAAGGUGCAGCGCUGUAUCUAGCAGUGUGUGGCACAUGGGCCUGCCAUGCAGAUGUGCCUCAGUGAACAAACAGAGCACGUCUGCAGAUCAAACUGCUUGAGAAAGAGCACAUCUGGAAUAACAACUCAUGAAAACUUGGUUCUUGAAGAAUGAUCUGUAUACAUGCAUAAGAAAAGAGCAAAGCUUUCGCUCAAUUAGUAAUAGGGGCCAGACAGCAAGCCAUGAACAUUCCAGCACUACCACAAGGGAAUGCGAGGUCCAGGGCAGGCCCCAGGGAGUGGGAAAGAGUCAGACUGCCUGAAGACAGAGUGGUUUUCCUCGACCACUAUGGCUAUAGAUUAAUGGGGCUCUCUCCCAGUGGGAGGAGACAGAACAUAACAGGACAUGCUGACGGCUUGGUGCCCACAGAAUCCAUUAGCAUAUGGGGUGGAGUCAUUCCCAGCAAAUUCUUUGCUCAUCACAGAAGACCCUGAGUUGAAGAAACUCACUUGGAAUUACUAUGCAGAGACAAAACUGACUGGGUCUUGUUUGGCUUUUAUAGGCAAGUGUCUGGAGGAGAAACCCAAUAACAGUUCCAUUUAGAGAACAUGACCAUAAAGGAGUUUACUUUUCCGGGCUGUGUUACAUUAUACCAGAACCAAUUACAAAUAUUUAAAAUAGCUCGACUUUUAAAAUGUGCCUGAUGCUUUUUUAUGUAGAAGAAUUAAAAAAAAAAUCCCCCCCAAAAUGGUAAUGAGGCCAAUAAAGGGAGAAUCAGAUUUGACUGGGUGAAUUACACCACAGUGGUUGAGAAACUUCCUAGAAGAGUGGGGGAGGGGAGGACUUGACGUGGCCAGGGUGGCCUGGAGCUAUUCCACAUCUUCAGCCAUGGAUGAAGAUAUUGAGGACGUGUUUGUCAAACCUGCCUAGCCGCAAGGCUCAGAAGGACUUACACUUGGUCCUGCGCUCAAUAACUAACCCACUAGGAACUCCAUUUCAUCACCCAGGAAGUGGGGAUAGGUCCAUUCUCAGUGUCACCCCAGAUCAACACCAAAGGGCUAUAAAAGGAACCUUCCUUCACACAAAGAGUGAUAGAAUCGGGAACUUUUAAACUCCCAAUUUAGACGGCCAGAAGACUGAGCCAUUAUGCCAAGUUGAAAGAGAAAUCAAGUCUACAGCUUCAAAUAAAUUACUCUGGUUUAGGAGUCAACAAACAACAAAAACAACAACAACAUAACGACACAUGAAGGAAACAAAGAGUCAUAAAACCUUCAACAAAACCCAAAACACACAAACCACAAGCUAACUGACCAAUAACGCCAGAUCACGCUCUUCUGGACUACAACAACAUCUUCUGCAGACCUUCAUGAAAGUCCUGCUCUGCCUGUCAAUCAUUCCCUUUGGCUAACAGACAGCUGCAUCCGGGCGAGCUGCCUGUGGAGUAUGUCAGCAUGGCUGUCAACCUCGCCCAUGGCGAGGUACUUGAGUUGCUUCCGGCGUGAGCCUUCAUUAAGAAAAACGAACCACUGAAGAAUGAGAGAGGCGUGACUCGGUAGUGCUUCCAAGGAGGAACUCGAGAAGUUCAUAAUGGUCACUGAAAGAUUUACAACAAGCCCCCACGGUCAGGCGUGUUUGCAUAUGCCUGGCGGACACUUCCGCCUAGCCAGGUCCAGGUCAGGAUAGCCAUUUCCGGGUCAGGGCAUCUCGCGUGACCAAGAUCCGUGACGUUCCACUAGCCACGUAGGCACGCAACGUGGCCAUGUGAUCUACGCGCUUGCGUGUAGUAGUGACGCUGAUCUGUCCACGCCCAGCCUUUAAAAUCAGGCGCCAUGUUCCCGGUUCCUUCUUCUCCACAUACGUGUUUCCCGCAGGCCUGUUCACUCAAUGUCCCUUUACCUUUAAUAAAACUCUUGUUAGCGGAUUCUGUCGUGUUUCGUGGCAUUUCCUUGCAGGGUAAGAACACAACGCAGCCGAAAAACUAACAGUCACAAGGUCCUCAAAAGGCAACUACUACCAGUCUCCUGAGAUUCCAGCAUCAAUCCUAACAUUAACGAUCUCCCUAAAUUUUAAAACAUUUACAAAAAUAGGGGCUGGAGAGAUGGCUCAGUGGUUAAGUGCACUAGUUGUUCUUCCAGAGGACCUGGGUUCGAUUCCAAGCACCUACACGAUGGCAGCUCACACCCAUCUGUAUUUCCAGUUCCAGGGGCUCUGACAUGUCUGGCAGAUGAGGGCACCGGGUGCACACAUGGUACAUAGACAUAUAUGCAGGCAAAAACAUCCAUGCACAUAAAAAUUGAUUAAUUAAUUUUAAAACAUUAAAAAUUUACAAAAUAGCUACCUGAUAUAAAGAUCUUAACCAUUUUACUGUAUAUACUUAGACAGUUGUUAUUUUUACAAUAUUGAUUU